AUAAAUCACAAUGCGGAACAUCUGUUUUGCAAUUGGAUUGAGAACAACGCACAACACUUAUCGAUAAACAAUUGGAGGGCAAGUCUGGUGCCAGCAGCCGCGGUAAUUCCAGCUCCAAUAUCGUAUAUUAACGUUGUUGCAGUUAAAAAGCUCGUAGUUGAAGUGAAGUGUGGAAGUUUGGCAUUUUCGUUUGAAUUUGCUUCUCUUCUAUACUCUUUCCCAAUAGUUUGCAUGGGGUAUUCAAUUUAUCUGUGUAUUGCAUUUGGUCAUUUACUGUGAGAAAAUUAGAGUGUUCAAAGCAUACGUUUGUUUGAAUACAUUAGCAUGGAAUAAUUCGAAAAGGCUUUCAUGUUCGAUUUGAUUGGUUUGUUCGUGAAGGCAAGAUUAAAAGGGACAGUUGGGGGUAUUCAUAUUCAAUAGUCA
This 423-nucleotide ribosomal RNA is filed under the name Blastocystis sp. Its description in RNAcentral is "SSU rRNA". It matches the Rfam family "Eukaryotic small subunit ribosomal RNA", at positions 473 to 907 of the family's 1831-position model. The record is from RNAcentral. Lineage: Eukaryota; Bigyra; Opalinata; Blastocystidae.